Molecule: long non-coding RNA, 323 nt
Organism: Hipposideros armiger (great roundleaf bat)
Lineage: Eukaryota; Metazoa; Chordata; Mammalia; Chiroptera; Hipposideridae
Exons: 3
Source: RefSeq, a predicted model, not a curated record
CCCCGCCCCCUUUCCGCCUCCGGCUUGGCUCCCAUUCCUGAAUAAGCUCGGGUGCCUCAGCUGCUUCAGUUCGGUUGCGCCUGCGUCUGCUGUGCAGUGUCUGCUGUGCUCGCCUCCGAGCCAUGAUUCGAACCUCAGAGGGUCGGCCCCUGCGCCGGGUUUUUGUAGUCGGGGUUGGGAUGACCAAGUUCAUUAAGCCUGGAAUGGAGAAUUCAAGAGACUACCCUGACUUGGCAAAAGAAGCAGGUCAGAAGGCUUUAGCUGAUGCACAGAUCCCUUACUCAGCAGUGGAACAGGCAUGUAUUGGCUACGUUUAUGGUAUG